AAAAAAUUAAAAAAAUGUAUUAGUGUUUUGAAAAAUUAGUCCAACUUUAUUAAAAAAAAAAUUGUCUUAUAUUUCUGCUCUUUAAUGAAAAUUCUAAAAUAGCCGUACAAUCAUUUUCUAUCAUAAAAUAAAAAUAAAAUAAAGAAAUAAAAAAAACUAACAAUCACUAGGUUUUUUAGUAUGUCAUAAAACAAAAAAGAAAAAAAAUAUACCUAUCUCGAUAUCAAAUUAUUCCAAACAUAAGAGGAGAAGAGGGUGAGUUGUGAUAUUCAAAAAUUAA
Molecule: long non-coding RNA, 280 nt
Filed under: Lathyrus oleraceus (garden pea)
Lineage: Eukaryota; Viridiplantae; Streptophyta; Magnoliopsida; Fabales; Fabaceae
Description: Pisum sativum (pea) long non-coding RNA (PSAT_LNC030063)
Source: RNAcentral